Molecule: ribosomal RNA, 245 nt
Filed under: uncultured Zavarzinella sp.
Lineage: Bacteria; Pseudomonadati; Planctomycetota; Planctomycetia; Gemmatales; Gemmataceae
Description: partial 16S ribosomal RNA
Rfam family: Bacterial small subunit ribosomal RNA
Source: RNAcentral
GACGAACCGUGCGAACGUUGUUCGGAAUCACUGGGCUUAAAGGGCGCGUAGGCGGCUCGCGAGGUCGGGGGUGAAAUCCCACGGCUUAACCGUGGAAGGGCCUUCGAUACCGGCGGGCUCGAGGAAGGUAGGGGUGCGCGGAACUUCUGGUGGAGCGGUGAAAUGCGUUGAUAUCAGAAGGAACGCCGGCGGCGAAAGCGGCGCACUGGACCUUUUCUGACGCUGAGGCGCGAAAGCCAGGGGAG